RNAcentral lists this transfer RNA (72 nucleotides) under Gentiana aristata. RNAcentral's name for it is "tRNA-Lys". It matches the Rfam family "tRNA". Rfam says of the family: Transfer RNA (tRNA) molecules are approximately 80 nucleotides in length. Their secondary structure includes four short double-helical elements and three loops (D, anti-codon, and T loops). The record is from RNAcentral. Lineage: Eukaryota; Viridiplantae; Streptophyta; Magnoliopsida; Gentianales; Gentianaceae. RNAcentral also lists the same sequence under 7 other names.
GGGUUGCUAACUCAACGGUAGAGUACUCGGCUUUUAACCGACCAGUUCCGGGUUCGAAUCCCGGGCAACCCA